Molecule: RNA transcript, 6981 nt
Organism: Paramisgurnus dabryanus
Lineage: Eukaryota; Metazoa; Chordata; Actinopteri; Cypriniformes; Cobitidae
Source: RefSeq, a predicted model, not a curated record
UUAAUUUGAGACUUUUAUUAUAUGCCGCUAGAUGGCGUAGUUCCGCUUUGUGGUUCAUUUUAGUUUCACUUUCACAGACGCUCGCUCCGCCAUUUUCUUUGGGUGCUAAUGUGCGUGGAUGCAUGUAAGUUCUCCUUAAACAAUAACAAUUAACAUUAAUACUUCAUCGCAAUGCUGUACUUUGAGUAAUCCGUUUCUAUUACUAAUAUAAAUGUUAAUUAUGAUGUAAAAGGCCAGUUAUAUAUAUUGUGGUUAAAACUUUUAUGUUAUAUUACCAAUUUUACUCCACACGAUGUAUAUAUCAUGUUUAUUUGUAUUAUUUGACAACAAUGUUAUGUUAGCUGACUUAAAUUGAUAUAUAAUUCCUCUGUGUAUUUCAGGAAAACCACAUUAAUACCUUUUGGCCAUGAUUGUAUGCUGCUAUGAAUAUUAAUACUCAAAGUGCUACAUAAAGAGUUAACUGUUGCCUGUCUCCUGUCACACUUCUUACCGGAGCCCCGUAAUGGAUGGGCAUUAACCUACCUAAACACCACAAAAGUCAAUUACAUUUGGUCCUUCGAGCCGGAUGCUGCAUUCAUUACGGUGAUCAAUGGAGCGACAGAGCCACAGUUAUCCUCUUGAUUCCACACACCCUGUCCGUAGACAGGACAGAGUACGUCAGCUGCCUGCUCAUCUGCAAGACUAUGAUUUAGCAUUACCCAAAUCGCUGAUGCCAGUCCCUGGACUUUAUGAUAGUCCAUACGCACAAUCAAGGAUAGAUCAUACAGGAGCACAGCUGAUUCUCAGUGGACAGGCCGAGCCAGUCUCGACUGUUGAACAGCCUUCUGGUUAUGAGCAACACAUGCAGUAUGGACCAAGCCAUAUGAGCAGUAUUAACGUUGAACUUAGUGACCUUGUGAGGCAGCUAGAUGUUGGGAGCUCUAUUAGUCAGCUUGCUACACCAGCAGCACGAAACAUGACUCACAGUCAUUCUGAACAUAAUUCUCAUAGCAGCGGCACAGUAUCGCCUGUAUUGCCCAGUCUCGAACAGGCUGAGGUUACUUUGCUACCUCCGGUUAGACCAAAGGCUACCGCUGUCCCUUCGAUCGCACCUUGGCGUUUGGGACAUCCAUUGCCUGUUUUCGCUGGCACAGGAAAUCUUCCCCAGCAGUCAACUCCAUGGCAUAUGACACAGACCAGACCCAGUUUGGCACCUGAUAUGGCUAUAUCACAUCCUGAUAUCACUGCUUUACAUACAGCAGCAUAUCAGCAAACUUCAUACAGUGCAGCAGACAUUCACUCCUCAUGUCAAAUCAUUUCAUCACUACCACAGACAGUCACGUCAGUGAAGCUGCCAAUAGUUACUGCACACACAACCUUUGUGCCACCUGUCUAUCAGCUACAGGCGAAUCGACCAAGUCAAUCGCAACAGCAGUCUUUCACAAGGUCAGAUCCUUAUCGGAUAACGUCAUCUGUGACAGGAUAUCAUUCUACCUUACUAUCUUCUCAGACUCCACUCCAGCCACAUUACCCUACUCCGGUUUCGACUUACCAACCAAUGCCUGUGUCCCCUCCACUCCAGCCACAUUACCCUACUCCGGUUUCGACUUACCAACCAAUGCCUGCGUCCCCUCCUCUUCAGCCUUCGUACCCUGCUUCAUUUUACCAGCCAACGCCUGUGGGCCCUCCACUCCAGCCAGUUCCAAUUCCAGCUUUGCCUAAGCUUGUGAAUGACAGUGAGCGUGAGUUUACAGACCUAAAGAUGGCUUUGGACAAUCUCCUCAAUCCCCGUACUGAGCUUACUGAACAUUAUAAAUAUAGGGUGUUAAUGGAACAAUUGGUUCUGGAGGAGGCAAAGCUAAUUGCACAAGCAUGCCGGCAUCAUUCAGCACCUUAUACAGCAGCGAUGACCAGUUUACAACGCCAAUACGGCCAACCUCACCAAUUGGCACAAAGUGAAAUAGCGGCCCUCCUAAAUUCACCUGACGUUAAAGUAGGAGAUGCAAAGGCUUUCCAGAGUUUCGCUCUUAAUGUUGACUUGUUGGUGGGCAUGUUGAUGUCCCUUGAAGGACCACAGGGGCGAGAGCUUACCUGUACAGGACACGUUGAUAGGUUACUCAGUAAGUUACCGAAGUACUACAGAGAUAGCUUUAUUGAACACCUCCAGUUACGGGGCCGACUGAGUUCUGUUAGCCUAAACCCAUAUAAUUUGCAUGACCUUGCAGACUGGCUGAAAGUAAAGGCAGAGGCCCAGCGUUUAUCCUCAAAAAUGGUGCAGCGCUAUCAAACUGAGAAGGUUCAAGCAAGUAGAGAACGUCAGCCUAAACUAAAGCCCCCAGCUCGGCCCAUCGCUGUCUAUCAUGGAAGUAAUCAGCCCAAAGAGGUAAGCACCGUACAUUUGGUUGCUACGGAAACUGCAGGUGCUCAACAAUCAGCUAAUAGGUUCAAGCGCCUAUGUCUGUAUUGUAAAAGUCAGGAACACUACUUGUCACAGUGCAAUGAAAUCACUAAACACUCGCCUGCACAGAUUCUGAAGUGGAUUAAGGAUGGCAAGAGAUGCUGGAAAUGUGGACGUACAAGUCAUAAAUGUGAAGAAUGUACACUAAAGAAGCCUUGUUCAGAAUGUGGCGAGGUUCAUCUUGGGGUCCUACAUCGUAUCGCACUGGAAGUUUCCCGCACUGUGCUGCUUACGACAUCUCAAGAUCGUGCCUAUCUGUCGACUCCAAGCUCUACAGGACGGGUUUACUUAAAGGUGGUUCCAGUGCUGCUGUGGAAAGGCAAGAGCUCCAUACCGACAUAUGCCAUUCUGGAUGAUGGCGCCCAGAGGAGCAUUAUCCUUUCAGAAGCAGUCCAGCGGCUAGGUCUUGAGGGUGAAAAUGAAACUAUGACCCUACGCACCAUUCGGCAUGAUAUCAGUGUGUUACAAGGGCGGUCCGUUGAUUUACUGCUUUCCACCCAGUCAAACCCAAAUGAAAAAUAUACCCUUAUGGGUGUGUUUUCGGCUCCUCUCCUUACAUUGUCUGAACAAACAUACCCGACUAGGAGACUUCAGCAAUGUUAUUAUCAUCUCAGAGAGAUCCCUCUUCCAUCCUUCGAUAAGGUCCAGCCUCUUCUGCUAAUCGGGUCCGACUAUCCAAACUUGAUCACAGCCAAAGAGCCUAUCAGAAUAGGACCAGCUGGUGGCCCAGCAGCUGUAAAUACGCAACUUGGUUGGGUUCUCCAGGGACCAGAUGGACUCCUUUCACAUCAGGUACCUACACAGCAAUGUUUAUUUACUUCCCUCUCACCAAUACCAGAUCCGGUUUACCAACAUGUCGAACGACUGUGGCAGCUAGAUGUACUGCCAUAUCGCAGUGAGAAGCUAGUAACACGGUCAAAGCAGGAUCAAAGGGCUAUAAACAUGCUGGAGACAAAGACACAGCGAGUGGAAGUUAAUGGCGUUGAGCGCUACGCUACCCCACUUCUUCGUGUCCAGGAUGCUACCCCCUUGAGAGGAACCAAGGAAUCAGUUCUUUCCAGCCUCAGGAACUCUGAAAGGCGCCUGAGUAAAGACCCAGAAAGAGCUAAAGUUUACGAAGCCGAAAUACAGAAACUCCUAGAUGCAGGCUAUGUUGUCAAAAUACCAACGGAGCAUCUGUGGACAGAUAAGGAGUCGUGGUUCAUACCGCAUCAUCUUGUCCAUCACAACGGCAAGGACCGGCUGGUUUUUAACUGCUCCUUCGUGCAUCAAGGAAUUUCACUUAAUCAGCAACUACUUCCUGGGCCCAGCCUCGGUGCCUCUUUACUAGGAGUUCUCCUGCGGUUUCGGCAGUAUCCUGUUGCCAUUAGUGGUGAUAUCCGUGCGAUGUUUCACCAAGUGAGACUUCUGCCGGAGGACAGAUCCCUGCUGAGGUUCAUUUGGAGGAACAUGCGGAGGGAGGAUCAGCCUGACAUCUAUGAAUGGCAAGUCUUGCCUUUUGGAACGACCUGCAGUCCUUGCUGUGCCUCCUUUGCUUUGCGUAAACAUGUUCAAGAACAACAGCCUGGCAAUGAAGAGGUGUUACAGUCUAUAGAGCAGAGUUUCUACGUAGACAACUGUCUACAGAGCUUUUCGACCCCUGAAGAGGCUAAGGAACUAAUUGACAAGAUGAGACCACUCUUAGCCUCUGGGGGUUUUGAGAUAAGGCAAUGGGCUUCUAACGUUCCAUCAGUAGUCCAGCACUUACCAGCAGGAGCACGUUCUGAGAGCAUUGAACUGUGGCUUCAGCAGUAUACCCCGGAUCCUCUAGAACAUGCUCUCGGUUUAAUGUGGCAUUGUCUCAAAGAUCAUUUAGGGUAUAAGCAUCGGGCAAUAGGAGAGCAUCCCCCAACAAUGAGACACCUUUACAAAGUUCUAGCAUCGCAAUAUGACCCCGUAGGGUUUAUUGUUCCCUUCACUACCAGGGCCAAGGUGCUUAUCCAGAAAUUCUGGACCAAACCACGGAAUUGGGAUGAUCCGAACUUACCUGCAAAUUUGCUGGAGCAGUGGAACCUCUGGGAAAGAGAAUUACCCAACCUUAGCAAAAUCAAGUUGCCUAGAUGUUAUCUUCCCCCCAACUUUGCAGUGGAAACAUCAAGAUUUAACCUGCAUGUGUUCGGGGAUGCAUCAGAAGCGGCCUACGGAUCCGUUGCGUAUCUGCUUAUUGAGCAGAAUGGAGAAGUCCAUACCUCCUUUGUCAUGGCUCGCUCCAGGGUUGCCCCCAAACGACAGCUAUCAAUACCACGGCUUGAGUUGUGUGCAGCGCUGACCAGUGCUCAAUUAGCCAGAUUUCUCCAACAGGAACUGAGCAUUGUUGUGGAAAAUGUGACAUUAUGGACUGACUCCACCACCGUCCUUACCUGGAUAAACUCUGAAUCUUGCCGAUAUAAGGUAUUUGUCGGAACAAGAAUAGCCGAAAUUCAAGAGCUCACUGGAGACCACACAUGGAGGUAUGUUGAUUCCUCAAAUAACCCGGCAGAUGACAUUACCAGGGGCCGGACACUUACUGAGAUAGCAAGCCCAGGUAGGUGGAGUCAAGGUCCAAAAUUUUUGAAGGAACCACCAGAGCAAUGGCCAACUACACCCAUGGCAGAAAUCCAUGAUGAUCCUGCGGAAGCAAAGAAAGGUAUUUUCUGUGGCCUAGCAACAAAUGACCAAAGCUCUGGAAUGCCUGAUGUAUCAAAAUAUACCUCAUGGAAAGCCUUGGUUGAUGCCACUUACCAGUUCCUUCACGGGGCGGCUACUCAAGAUACAAAUGCACAAACUCCAGACUACCGAAGUGCAGAAGCUUGCAUACUGAGCCAGGCUCAAGAGGAAUCUUUCUCAGAGGAGUUUAGAGCCCUAAAGACAGCAAAACUGGUGCCCGUAUCCAGCCGUCUGCAUACCCUUGCGCCAGAGUUUGAUCACACGCUGGCACUAAUCCGUGUGGGUGGUAGACUACGGAAACUGUCUGAUUCCAGUGAAACUGAGAUACACCCAGUGGUCUUAGACCCACACCAUUCAGUGACUAAGCUCCUCAUAAGGCACUUCGACGAGCGUUUACUUCAUCCAGGUCCAGACAGGGUUUUCGCAGAACUACGUCGCUAUUAUUGGAUUCUGAGAGGCAGGCAAGCAAUUAAAAAACAUCAAAGGGAAUGUGUGGAGUGCCAGAAGUGGAGGGCGAAGCCGAUAGUACCCAUUAUGGCUGACAUACCCUCAGCUCGUCUGCGACUCAACCAACCGCCUUUUUUCUCGACUGGAGUUGAUUGCUUCGGGCCCUUUAUUGUUAAGAUUGGCCGGCGCUCAGAGAAGCGAUGGGGAAUCAUCUUCAAGUGCUUGACAACCCGAUGUAUUCACCUUGACCUUCUUAACAGUAUUGAUUCAGAUGCAUUCUUAUUGGCACUUAGGCGUUUUAUCGCUCGAAGGGGAACACCAUCUGAAAUUCUCUCAGAUCAAGGGACUAAUUUCAGAGGAGCAGAAACUGAAUUAAGGCAAGCCUUUAAGGAAAUGGAGCCCAGGCUGCAGGAGCUGCUAGCUGACUAUCAGAUCACCUUUAAGUUGAAUCCUCCGGCUGCACCACAUUUUGGAGGCAUCUGGGAAAGGGAGAUUAGAUCGGUAAAGUCUGCCCUGCAAGUAGUUAUAGGAAGUCAACCUGUUCCAGAGGAAGUGCUGAGUACUGUCUUAAUCGAAGUAGAAGGUAUUCUGAAUAGCAAGCCAUUAGGUUACGUUUCAUCUGACGUAGCGGACUUAGACCCGGUCACUCCUAAUAUGCUGCUUAUGGGCCGAAGGGAUGCCUCACUUCCUCAAGUUAUUUACACUCCAGAACCUGUAACCAAGCGCCGCUGGCGUCAUACUCAAAGUAUUGUUGAUCACUUCUGGUUAUACUAUACCCGGCAUUACCUGCCUGACUUACAGACUCGACAGAAGUGGCAACGAGAAACACAGGAUCUAACUGAGAACACAGUGGUGAUGAUUAUGGAUCCACAACUUCCUAGAGCCAGCUGGCCAGUUGGUCGGGUUGUUAAACUGAUACCCAGUGCUGAUGGACAUAUCAGGUCAGCUCAAAUACAGGUCAAGGAUCGUCUAUACUUAAGGCCUGUCGCCAAACUUGUAAGACUUCCACCAAUUCCUGAUGGAGAUGAAACUAAUCCCGGAGACUAGGGAAUUUACUUUAUUACAUAUUAGCUAUGCUAAUCUGGGGGCGGCUGUUCGAAAUUCCCUAUGAGUAGGUUAUGAAACUUUAAUUUGAGACUUUUAUUAUAUGCCGCUAGAUGGCGUAGUUCCGCUUUGUGGUUCAUUUUAGUUUCACUUUCACAGACGCUCGCUCCGCCAUUUUCUUUGGGUGCUAAUGUGCGUGGAUGCAUGAAAACCACAUUAAUACCUUUUGGCCAUGAUUGUAUGCUGCUAUGAAUAUUAAUACUCAAAGUGCUACAUAAAGAGUUAACUGUUGCCUGUCUCCUGUCACACUUCUUACCGGAGCCCCGUAAUGGAUGGGCAUUAACCUACCUAAACACCACAAAAGUCAA